Non-coding RNA from Parelaphostrongylus tenuis, 67 nucleotides. The record is from the annotation of a GenBank genome assembly. Lineage: Eukaryota; Metazoa; Nematoda; Chromadorea; Rhabditida; Metastrongylidae.
GCGGUAGUGCAACGGUUAGCAUACGCUCCUAAAAAGAGUGAGAUCUGGGCUCAAAUCCCGACUGACA